This is a long non-coding RNA of Solanum tuberosum (potato), 553 nucleotides long. RefSeq lists it as uncharacterized. The record is from RefSeq and is a predicted model, not a curated record. The transcript has 4 exons. NCBI's taxonomy places the organism in Eukaryota, Viridiplantae, Streptophyta, Magnoliopsida, Solanales, Solanaceae.
UGAAAUUUCAUCUUCAAUUCUAGUUUGAUCAUUCGUUUCUAUUUUCAUGAUGGAUAUGGACAUUCUGUUCUCUCUGUUGUCCUUGAACACUGAUGCAUGUGGUUUGUAGUUUGUGCCUGGUCUAGCUGCUGAGAGUAGAACUCCUAAAUUUCAUAUGACACCAGAUAUUUUAUCUGAAAUGUUCUUAACUGAUUGAAUGUCUAUGACAUAGGCUCAUCAUAUCAAAUCUGUACACAACAACUCCGCAAAUGCGGUUCUUGCUUUAGAAUCUUUCUAUAAGUGGGCCUUAACUGGUACACCCCUGCAAAACUGCAUGGGGAAUUGUACUCAUUUGUCCGUUUCUUUCAAGUUAUGCCUUGUGCUUGUUACUUUUGCGAAGAUUGUAAUUGCAGUGGACUUGAUUUUAGCUUCUCCGAUGUGUGCCCACAGUGCUCCCACCAACCUGCACGUCACUUCCUCUGGUGGAAGAAAUAUAUUGAAAAACCAUUAAAGUCAUACGAUAAUGAAGGUACAGAUGCGUUGGUGUGGUUGAAGUACAAAAUUCUGAAAAGUC